GAUGAAGAACGUAGCGAAAUGCGAUACUGGGUGUGAAUUGCAGAAUCCCGUGAACCAUCGAGUCUUUGAACGCAAGUUGCGCCUCAAGCCAUUAGGUUGAGGGCACGUCUGCCUGGGCGUCACAUAUCGUUGCCUGAUGCCAGUUUCCUCGUGAUGGGUGACUGUGCAGGGCGAAUGAUGGCUUCCCGUGAGCAUUGUUGCCUCAUGGUUGGUUGAAAAUUGAGUCCUUGGUAGGGAGCGCCGUGAUAGAUGGUGGUUGAGUGACGAACGAGACCCAAUCAUGUGAGACCCCUACCGAAUUUGGCCUUCAUGACCCACAUGCGUCUUUGGAACGCUCAUGACGAGACCUCAGGUCAGGCGGGGCUACCAGCUGAGUUUAAGCAUAUCAAUAAGCGGAGGA
Molecule: unclassified non-coding RNA, 400 nt
Filed under: soil metagenome
Description: partial contains 5.8S ribosomal RNA, internal transcribed spacer 2, and large subunit ribosomal RNA
Rfam family: 5.8S ribosomal RNA (bases 1-122)
Source: RNAcentral